This is a long non-coding RNA of Magnolia sinica, 3957 nucleotides long. RefSeq lists it as uncharacterized. Lineage: Eukaryota; Viridiplantae; Streptophyta; Magnoliopsida; Magnoliales; Magnoliaceae. The transcript has 2 exons. The record is from RefSeq and is a predicted model, not a curated record.
UAUAGAAGCGGAACCCUUGUAGGUUAGGGUGGGCAGACCAUCAGAAGAUAAGGGAGGCGAUCUCAGGGAGCGAAGGAAUAAAGCAGAUCAAAGGGCUAAGUUGAUCGAAACAAUUCAAAAGAAGAAAUGGAUAAGAGAUGCUAUGGGCCAUGUUGGUAGAUCCAUAGGAGUUUCUUUCGGCGAUCACCCAGAAGAUUAUUUAGUUUUGUUCCAUUGCAUCGAGGAACGCGGCCGACCGUUGCAACGGACAAGAACUCCUAGGAAACCACCCUUAAGGUCCAAAAGCAACAAGAAACUUCAAAGUCUCAUACUUAGCCCCUCUUCUAUCACUCGGAUCAAUUGUACAGGCGAGACUCAUGUCCUACGGGGGAGCUUAGUUCCUAAAUAAAAGUCUUAACCUGGAAUAUCAGAGGUGCGGGAUCAAAGCAGAAGAGAUGAUUGAUUAAGGAUAUCUGUGGUAGAAGUAAAGCAGAGGUGAUAUGUCUUUAGGAAACCAAGGUGCAAAACUUCAACGAGAAGCUGAUGGGCACUCUUUGGAGUGUAAAAGAUGUUAGGUGGGUCGCUCCAGAUGCCAUGGGUCUAUCAGGUGGUAUUCUAGUGGCGUGGAAGUCCUCUUUCUGGUCUCUAGUAGAUAGCUGGAGUGGCGCUUUCUCAGUUUCGGUUAUCCUGAAAGAGAUCUCAACUGAUUUCUCGUCUUAUUACUUCAAUUCAUGGCCCCAAUCAGGAAGCCAGCAUAUUCGAGUUUUGGGAGGAACUGGAUAUUUCCAGACAGAGAUUUAGUGGGCUAUGGUGUAUAGGUGGAGAUUACAACAUCAUGCGUCAUGCAUACGAAAGGUCCCAAGGAGGCAGGGCUACUGCUGGUAUGUGUCGUUUCUCGCCAUGGAUCGAAGACCAGGAACCGGUUGACCUUCCCCUGCUUGGUGCGAGAUUCACCUAGUCUAAUGGGAGGGAAAAUCCAAUCAUGUGGAGGUUGGACAAAUUUCUGGUAUCGUCUGACUGGUUGGAAAUGUUUCCGCUUGUCUCGCAAUCCACCCUUCCGAAUCCUGCGUCGGAUCAUAGCCCCCUCAUUCUUGCAGUUGACAACCAGAACUAGGGUCCUAAACCAUUCAGGUUCGAAAUAUCUUGGCUGAAGAUAGAAGGAUUUCAUCAGAAGAUAAUAGACUGGUGGGUAGGCUUCAGAGUGGAAGGCUAUGCUGGAUUCAAGCUUUGCAACAAAUUGAGACUUUUGAAAGAAAAGCUCAAGAGAUGGAAAAUGCAAGAGCUUCGCAAAAGAGAAGAGGAAACUAAUUCCAAUCUAGAUUAGAGAAGGAGAUAAAAAUACUAAAAUUUUCCAUUGUGUAACAAGUGCGCGUGCCAGAGUCAACAAAAUCAGCAGCAUAGUGGUUGAUGGGGUUCGAUUAGAAGAUAAGGACAGAAUUUCGGAAGAGGUUGUUCGAUAUUUCAACAAUUUGCUUAGGGAGAAGACUGGGAGAGACCAAAGCUGGAUCAUCUUCACAUAGAGAAGUUGUCCAAAGAAGAUGCAUGUGCAAUUGAAUCCCCUUUCACGCUUAUCGAGGUGAAAGGGGCGGUGGAUGCUUUGGGAGGGGGCAAGGCCCCUGGGCCAGAUGGUUUCCCAAUUCUCUUUUUCCAAAACAUUCUGGGAUAUGUUAAAAGGGGAUAUUAUGGUUUUUGUAAACAAAUUCCACGAUAGAGGGCGACUCUCAAAAUAUCUUGGGGCAUCUUUUGUUGCGCUCAUCCCAAAGAUCCUGGGUGUGAACUCUUUGAAGGAUUUUCGGCCGAUCAGUUUACUUGGAGGUCCAUAUAAAAUUCUGGCCAAGGUUUGGCAUCUACGUUUAAAAGGGGUGAUCGGUGCUGUCAUUUCUGAAAAUCAAAGUGCUUUUAUUCCCGGACGACAAAUAGUGGACAAUGCCCUUAUUGCUCUUGAAUGCUUGGAUUCCAGUCACAGAUCCAAUUCUAAGGGUAUUCUAUGUAAGCUGGACAUUGAAAAGGCAUACGAUCACGUAGGCUGGGGUUUUCUUCAGUAUAUGCUUUUUCAGAUGGGUUUUUGAGAUAGAUGGAUAGGGGAAUGUGUGGGAUCGGUGUUCUUUUCUCUUCUAAUUAAUGGAUCCUCAAAAGGUUUUUUCAAAAGCUCUACGGGAUUGCGUCAAGGUGACCCCCUAUCCCCUUUCCUCUUCCUACUAGUAGGGGAGGCUUUUUCUAGAAUGCUGAGUAAGGGUCAGGCAGAAGGCAUUUUUAGUGGGCUGAGAGUGGAAGGGAUGGCUAGCCCGAUAUCUCACAUUCAGUUUGUGGAUGACACCCUUUUGUUCUGUGAAGCAGAUCAGGCCAAAGUGAGUAACCCGCGGACUAUCAUUAGGUGCUUUGAAGCAGUUUUGGGUUUAGAGAGUUAACAUGGCCAAGUCAAAGUUGUUUGGGGUAAACAUGGAGGAAGAAGAGAUAAAUAAUUAUGUAGAUUUCUUUCGGUGCUCGGCAGGCCGCCUACCAACCACCUUUGUGGGUCUCCCUUUGUGCAUAGGAAAGCCCCCAAAGUUCCUAUGGGAUAAGGUUAUCAACAGAUUUGGGGCAUAUCUUGCUAGAUGAAAAUGUAGAUACCUAUCUUUGGGCGGCCGGUUAUCCCUUAUCAAGGCAGCAUUGUCGAAUCUUCCUCUCAAUUUCAUGUCUCUUUUCAAAUGUCCGACGUCAAUCCUGGCAAAUCUAUAAAGACUUAGAUGGGAUUUCCUGUGGCAUGGGAAGGAAGACAAGAGAAAAUUUCAUCUGGUUAGUUGGAAGGAUGUUUGUAAGCAAAAGAACAAGGAGGGGCAGGUAUAAAAGACCUCAAAACCAUGAAUCGGGCUCUCUUAGGCAAAUGGAUGUGGAGACUUGGGACCGAAAGCGGCUCUCUUUGGAAUAAUCUAGUAAAAAACAAGUAUGGCUAUUCAGAGGGGGGCUGUGGACAAAGGACUCUUCUAAUUGCAAAGCUUCGGCUCUUUGGAAAGGAAUUCUAUCUAUUAAAAAGGAGGUUCUUAAAGGUACUCGCAUUGCAAUUGGGAAUGGAAAACGCACCCGGUUCUGGGACGACAUCUGGGUGGGAGAUGAAGCCCUUAGAGUUGCAUUUCCACAUAUCUAUAGCCUUGCCCCUGAUGCUGAUAAGGCCAUCUUAGUGGACAUUUGCUACUCAGUUAUUGGGGGAGUAGUGGUGUGGAACCCGGGGUGUGGAAGAAAUCUUCGAGAUAGGGUGAUCGAAGAAUACGUAGUGCUUCUAAAUCACAUCCAAAGCAGUAAACUGGAUCAACGUAGCGCUGAUAGGCUCUUUUGGCAUCCUGACAAAUCAGGACAAUUCUCGGUUAAGUCCCUUUACAGUUCCCUUUCCAGCUAUCCCCCAUCAGUGGAAGAGGCAUUGUCUCCCCAUGUUUGGAAAUUUCACAUUCCCCCCAAGAUAGCGGCUUUUGGCUGGUUGGUGGGCAAGAACAAGGUCCUCAUAGUGGAUAACUUGAGAAAAAGGGGAAUGUGCAUCACAAAUAUCUGUUUGUGCUGUAUGGCAGAUGAAGAAACGGUGGAUCAUCUUUUUAUUCACUGUACAUUUACAAAUAAGAUCUGGACUCAUAUCCUAUCUCGCUUUCAGAUGUCCUGGACUUUUCCAGAUUCAGGCCGCAAUCUUCUACAGGCCUGGUACUGCUCGAGGUGUGGAAAGCAAAGAUCCAAGCUUUGGAGAAUGUCUCUCCUGGCAGUUUGGUGGGCCGUGUGGGAAGAAAGGAACAGAAUAUGUUUUAAUGGCACUUCUAACACAGUCGAGUGUAUCGUGCAAAGGGUGAUUCAUUUCAUAGCAGAAUGGGCUUCUUCCGUUGAAAAGCUAAAGGAUUGUAAUUUGUCUUUUUUGGGUUCUUAGUUGGUCUGCUACCUCAGCGGAUUAGCUUCCCCUUUUUGUUUUUGUUUUCCCUUUCUUUUCUAAUAAAGUUACUGUUACCUCAAACAAAAAAAUAA